GGACCCGCACAAGUAGUGGAGCAUGUGGUUUAAUUCGAAGAUACGCGCAGAACCUUACCAACACUUGACAUGUUCGUCGCGACUCUAAGAGAUUAGAGUUUUCGGUUCGGCCGGACGAAACACAGGUGCUGCAUGGCUGUCGUCAGCUCGUGUCGUGAGAUGUUGGGUUAAGUCCCGCAACGAGCGCAACCCUCACUUUUAGUUGCCAUCAUUAAGUUGGGCACUCUGAAAGAACUGCCAGUGAUAAGCUGGAGGAAGGUGGGGAUGACGUCAAGUCCUCAUGGCCCUUACGUGUUGGGCUACACACGUGCUACAAUGGUAUCUACAAAAGGAAGCAAGACGGCGACGUUUAGCAAAUCCUUAAAAAAUACCUCAGUUCGGAUUGCACUCUGCAACUCGAGUGCAUGAAGCUGGAAUUACUAGUAAUCGU
RNAcentral lists this ribosomal RNA (430 nucleotides) under uncultured bacterium. Its description in RNAcentral is "bacterial SSU rRNA". It matches the Rfam family "Bacterial small subunit ribosomal RNA", at positions 917 to 1345 of the family's 1533-position model. The record is from RNAcentral.